Mustela lutreola (European mink) is the source of this 974-nucleotide long non-coding RNA. RefSeq lists it as uncharacterized. The record is from RefSeq and is a predicted model, not a curated record. NCBI's taxonomy places the organism in Eukaryota, Metazoa, Chordata, Mammalia, Carnivora, Mustelidae. The transcript is spliced from 2 exons.
GAGAGAGAGAGAGAGAGAGGAGGAAGCAGGCUCCCUGCAGCACAGAGAGCCCGAUGUGGGGCUCGAUCCCAGGACCCUGGGAUCAUGACCUGAGCCGAAGGCAGAGGCUUAACCCACUGAACCACCCAGGUGCCCCUGCAAGUACUUUUGAUGACAAUGAAGAAUAGGCAGGUGGAGUGUUUUCAAGGUACUCCAAGGUGCCGAAAGGAUUUGUGAUGGUUCCUUUCACAACAUGCUCAGGGAACUGAUCUGUAAUGAGAAUAGGGCUUGAUGAGCAGGGGGGCCCAGUCAGGGUGGGAUAGCGGAGUUUGGUUUUCCUUCGUUCUUGGUCUGUCCUCCUCUGAAGGAGGCUGACACCCCUCUUCUUCACCCCAGCAAACCAUGAAGAACUGAAACUUGAGAGAGAUCUUUGAAAGCUAGCUGUUCCUUUGCUUAUGCAUCAGGACCAGCCAUUGGAAGCUCCGUGGAGACAGUGAGCCUGGCUGUAAGGAGGCAGGAUUCCUUGCAGCCCUGUUUAUGGGGAUGGAGAAGCCUACACACACAGGCACGCUGGGGCACGAGUCAGGGAAACCGAUGUCAGAUCUGCCCUUGGCCUGAGCACAGCAGGCUGAGGCCGGAGCUUUGGUGCCUUCCUCCUCUCUGCCUUUCCCUUACAUGGCCCUAUUUCCACCCUUGCAAAGCCAAGCUCCUGUUUGGGCAGCUCCUUCUAAGGCACCCACUUGGCCCUUGUCUUGCAAGUUGGCACAGAAAAUAAUUUACUCCAUGUCUGCAUUUACUCCAUGGAAAGGUGAACUGAAAAGUCGAAGAAGACGCUGGUUCGUCAGAGCCGGCAGGUUUGAACUUCCCAUUGCUUGGCAACAAGUGUAAUGGUCUCUCUGCAUUCCUGGUUACUUCUAAAAGAAACUCUCAGAAUGCUUCCUGCACUGAUUUGCUGCUGCCUUUCUGUUAUUAAACUUCUAGCAGAAUGCCAACAA